ACGGGCCCGCACAAGUAGCGGAGCGUGUGGUUUAAUUCGAUGCUACACGAAGAACCUUACCAGGGUUUGACAUGCAAGUGGUAGGAAACCGAAAGGUGACCGACCCUUCGGGGAGCUUGCACAGGUGCUGCAUGGCUGUCGUCAGCUCGUGUCGCGAGAUGUUCGGUUAAGUCCUGCAACGAGCGCAACCCCUGUUUCCAGUUGCCAUCAAGUAAAGUUGGGGACUCUGGAGAGACUGCCUGCGCAAGCAGAGAGGAAGGUGGGGAUGACGUCAAGUCAGCACGGCCCUUACGUCCAGGGCUACACACGUGCUACAAUGGCCGGUACAGAGGGCAGCGACCUGGUGACAGGUAGCGAAUCUCCAAAGCCGGUCUCAGUUCGGAUCGGAGUCUGCAACUCGACUCCGUGAAGCUGGAUUCGCUAGUAAUCGGAUAUCAGCAAUGAUCCGGUGAAUACGUUCCCGGGCCUU
This 469-nucleotide ribosomal RNA is filed under the name uncultured Bacteroidales bacterium. RNAcentral describes it as "bacterial SSU rRNA". It matches the Rfam family "Bacterial small subunit ribosomal RNA", at positions 917 to 1381 of the family's 1533-position model. The record is from RNAcentral. Lineage: Bacteria; Pseudomonadati; Bacteroidota; Bacteroidia; Bacteroidales.